Molecule: ribosomal RNA, 491 nt
Filed under: uncultured bacterium
Lineage: Bacteria
Description: bacterial SSU rRNA
Rfam family: Bacterial small subunit ribosomal RNA
Source: RNAcentral
AUUGAACGCGGCCGGCAUUCGUUACACAUGCAAGUCGAACGGCAGCAUGACGUGUAGCAAUACACGUUGAUGGCGAGUGGCGAACGGGUGAGUAAUAUAUCGGAACGUGCCCUGUAGCGGGGGAUAACCUAUCGAAAGAUGGAGUAAUACCGCAUACGCUCUACGGAGGAAAGCGGGGGUCGCAAGACCUCGCACUAUAGGAGCGGCCGAUAUCGGAUUAGCUAGUUGGCGGGGUAAAAGCCCACCAAGGCGACGAUCCGUAGCUGGUCUGAGAGGAUGAUCAGCCACACUGGAACUGAGACACGGUCCAGACUCCUACGGGAGGCAGCAGUGGGGAAUUUUGGACAAUGGGCGCAAGCCUGAUCCAGCCAUGCCGCGUGAGUGAAGAAGGCCUUCGGGUUGUAAAGCUCUUUCGGCAGGAACGAAAUGGUUCGUGCUAAUACCACGGACUGAUGACGGUACCUGAAGAAGAAGCACCGGCUAACUACGUG